Molecule: long non-coding RNA, 1976 nt
Filed under: Sinocyclocheilus anshuiensis
Lineage: Eukaryota; Metazoa; Chordata; Actinopteri; Cypriniformes; Cyprinidae
Description: lncRNA (ENSSANG00000044921.1)
Source: RNAcentral
CGUAGAACGAGAUGUGAGCCAAGACGUUGUAAAAAGAGAUUAAAUUAGUAUUUUCCUUGUCAAAUAAAUAAAUACAUACAUACAUACAUAAAUAAUACAGUCCACACAACAGUGGUUAUUGUUUGAUCAAAAUCACUUGAGUAGUCGUUGGCUAUUGGUAGAUGUAUUGGUUCAUGUCCCGUCCAUAGACCGUAUAAAAACAGGUCCCGUCCCAUACUUGGUAUUAUUAACCAUAGACUGUAAAAAUAUAUAUUGCAUCCAGCCACCAGAUGGCGACCGAAAUGGCUUCACUGCACACUUGAGUAGAGUAGUAGAGGACUCGUACUAAACUAUGCAAUCGUUAGCUACUACUAUAAGCGCCACCCGUAGUCGAUAUAGCCAACCUUUUUUUCCUGAUAUACGGGAGCGAUCUCCUCGCAAACUAAGUCAGAGCGUAUGUGGCACUGUUGAGCUCAGAAACAGGGAGGAGACUAUAGACAUCUACAGUCAACUGAACUCAACUCAUGUCAGCGCGAAAUGCUGUCAACAGGUAUCUCGUGGAUCCUCCUGCUGAUUCCCUUGAGCACAGCCAAUAGAGGUUUCACAAAGUGUAAGGGUGAUCACACUACAUUGUCCUGUCUGGACCCAAAGAAUCAUAUCGAGGGCAAAGUGGAGAUAAAUGCACUUUGGAAAAAAGAUUCUGGUGAAAGAGUGAUCUGGAACUACAACGGAGACCGCAAAAAAGGAGAUACUUUCAUGAACAGGACAGUAGAGUUGAAUGAAGAUUUAUCCCUUUACAUUGAUGGAUGUGAUCAGUCAGAUCAAGGCAUAUAUAUUCUCUGUAUUGAUGGGAAACCGAGCUGUGAAGUUACGCUAUUUGUCAGAGAACAAUCAAUUAGAAGCACUGCAUCUUCUAUGGCAAAACAAGCUACCAGAGAUGAAAAACACCUGCAAACUGAAACCAGUCUGCCUAAUACUUACAUCAGAUGGGUUAUUUAUGCCUGUUUGUGUUUGGCUGUGCUUGUGGUCUUAUUGCUGUUUAUCCGUGUUAUCCAUGCAUGCAUCCCAAAAGAGGAAACUAGUAAAAAUGACAAGUCAGGAUCUAAACUGCUCCAUAUAUAUAUAUAGAGUAACUAUGCCGGUGCAUGAUUUUAAAUUUAAUGUGGACACAACAGCAUAUCGUAAGGAUGAACAUCAGAACCGAAACGUUAGAUUUUUCAGAUUUAUGUCAGGACGUCACAUUUUCAUAAUUCUUCUGACGUCAGCAAAGAAAAGUUAUGCCCCAAUAUGCCUGAGCUACAUUUGCCCACCCUUUUUUUUGAUAUGGUGCAAAUUUUCUUUCCCUUACAGUUUGCGUUUGUAUUGUCUUUGCUUGGGGCCCCCAAGGACCAAUGAUGAAAGCAAAGGCAAUACAACUUCAAACAGUAAGGGAAAGAAAGUUUGCACAAUACCAAACAAAAGGGUGGGCAAAUGUAGUUCAGAAAUGUUGCCAAUAUGCAUCCGCUCUUAUAGAGUAGUUGUUAAAAAUAUUGAAACACUAAAUAUCUGCAUAUGUUUAACUUCACGAAUAAUAUUGUUUCUAACUUUCAAAGAAUUAUUAGACACUGUUCUAGCUCUAAAUAGCAAAGAUCAUCUGGAAUUAAUCUGGGUGGAGGCAUAUCUUUUUCCAUUUACUGGAAACUUAUGGAAUCAAGCUGUUUCAUUACAUAUUUAUAUUGUGAAAAUUGUAGAUAAUAAUGAGUGGCUGCUAUACAGCUUUUUUUUAAUAAAGAAAAUAUACAUAAAUCAAAUCCUUGAGUCCAUUUCUUUAAUUAUGAGGCCGUUUGUUGAAACUGAACCUGCUGAAUGAAGACAAGGCUUCACUGUAAAUUCUACAGCAGAAGCAUGUUUUUACUAAUGUUUUUAUAAUUUUGCAAAUGACAUUUAGGUAUUUUUCCCCAUCAGCCUGGAACAAUAAGCAUGAAGUUACCCAGUUGUUCAUUUACAAUGAGUUCAUC